UUGGAGGUUGUGCCCUUGAGGCGUGGCUUCCGGAGCUAACGCGUUAAGUCGACCGCCUGGGGAGUACGGCCGCAAGGUUAAAACUCAAAUGAAUUGACGGGGGCCCGCACAAGCGGUGGAGCAUGUGGUUUAAUUCGAUGCAACGCGAAGAACCUUACCUACUCUUGACAUCCAGAGAACUUAGCAGAGAUGCUUUGGUGCCUUCGGGAACUCUGAGACAGGUGCUGCAUGGCUGUCGUCAGCUCGUGUUGUGAAAUGUUGGGUUAAGUCCCGCAACGAGCGCAACCCUUAUCCUUUGUUGCCAGCGAUUCGGUCGGGAACUCAAAGGAGACUGCCAGUGAUAAACUGGAGGAAGGUGGGGAUGACGUCAAGUCAUCAUGGCCCUUACGAGUAGGGCUACACACGUGCUACAAUGGCAUAUACAAAGAGAAGCGACCUCGCGAGAGCAAGCGGACCUCAUAAAGUAUGUCGUAGUCCGGAUUGGAGUCUGCAACUCGACUCCAUGAAGUCGGAAUCGCUAGUAAUCGUGGAUCAGAAUGCCACGGUGAAUACGUUCCCGGGCCUUGUACACACCGCCCGUCACACCAUGGGAGUGGGUUGCAAAAGAAGUAGGUAGCUUAACCUUCGGGAGGGCGCUUACCACUUUGUGAUUCAUGACUGGGGUGAAGUCGUAACAAGGUAACCGUAGGGGAACCUGC
Molecule: ribosomal RNA, 698 nt
Filed under: uncultured bacterium
Lineage: Bacteria
Description: bacterial SSU rRNA
Rfam family: Bacterial small subunit ribosomal RNA
Source: RNAcentral